This 510-nucleotide ribosomal RNA is filed under the name uncultured bacterium. Its description in RNAcentral is "bacterial SSU rRNA". It matches the Rfam family "Bacterial small subunit ribosomal RNA", at positions 15 to 518 of the family's 1533-position model. The record is from RNAcentral.
GAUCAUGGCUCAGGAUGAACGCUAGCGACAGGCUUAACACAUGCAAGUCGAGGGCAGCAUAGAAGUAGCAAUACUUGGUGGCGACCGGCGCACGGGUGAGUAACGCGUAUGCAACCUACCUAUCAGAGGGGAAUAACCCGGCGAAAGUCGGACUAAUACCGCAUAAAACAGGGGCACUGCAUGGUGAUAUUUGUUAAAGAAAUUCGCUGAUAGAUGGGCAUGCGUUCCAUUAGGUAGUUGGUGAGGUAACGGCUCACCAAGCCGACGAUGGAUAGGGGAACUGAGAGGUUGGUCCCCCACACUGGUACUGAGACACGGACCAGACUCCUACGGGAGGCAGCAGUGAGGAAUAUUGGUCAAUGGGCGGGAGCCUGAACCAGCCAAGUCGCGUGAAAGGAAGAAGGAUCUAUGGUUCGUAAACUUCUUUUGCAGGGGAAUAAAGUGCAGGACGUGUCCUGUUUUGUAUGUACCCUGAGAAUAAGGAUCGGCUAACUCCGUGCCAGCCGCAGC